GACGAACGCUGGCGGCGUGCUUAACACAUGCAAGUCGAACGGAAAGGCCCUGCUCUUGCGGGGUGCUCGAGUGGCGAACGGGUGAGUAACACGUGAGUAACCUGCCCCUGACUUUGGGAUAACUUCAGGAAACAGGGGCUAAUACCGGAUAGGAGCUCCUGCUGCAUGGUGGGGGUUGGAAAGUUUCGGCGGUUGUGGAUGGACUCGCGGCUUAUCAGCUUGUUGGGGGAGUAGUGGUUUACCAAGGCUUUGACGGGUAGCCGGCCUGAGAGGUGAACCGGCCACAAUGGGACUGAGAGACGCCCCAGACGGCUACGGGAGGCAGCAGGGGGGAAUAUUGCACAAUGGGCGGAAGCCUGAUGCAGCAACGCCGCGUGCGGGAUGACGUCCUUCGGGUUGUAAACCGCUUUCGCCUGUGACGAAGCGUGAGUGACGGUAAUUGGUAAAGAAGCACCGGCUAACUACGUG
RNAcentral lists this ribosomal RNA (468 nucleotides) under uncultured bacterium. Its description in RNAcentral is "partial 16S ribosomal RNA". It matches the Rfam family "Bacterial small subunit ribosomal RNA", at positions 28 to 507 of the family's 1533-position model. The record is from RNAcentral.